AGGGGAAUAUUGGACAAUGGGCGAAAGCCUGAUCCAGCCAUGCCGCGUGUGUGAAGAAGGUCUUCGGAUUGUAAAGCACUUUAAGUUGGGAGGAAGGGCAGUAAGCGAAUACCUUGCUGUUUUGACGUUACCGACAGAAUAAGCACCGGCUAACUCUGUGCCAGCAGCCGCGGUAAUACAGAGGGUGCAAGCGUUAAUCGGAAUUACUGGGCGUAAAGCGCGCGUAGGUGGUUCGUUAAGUUGAAUGUGAAAGCCCCGGGCUCAACCUGGGAACUGCAUCCAAAACUGGCGAGCUAGAGUAGGGCAGAGGGUGGUGGAAUUUCCUGUGUAGCGGUGAAAUGCGUAGAUAUAGGAAGGAACACCAGUGGCGAAGGCGACCACCUGGGCUCAUACUGACACUGAGGUGCGAAAGCGUGGGGAGCAAACAGG
This 429-nucleotide ribosomal RNA is filed under the name Pseudomonadota bacterium. RNAcentral describes it as "Proteobacteria bacterium partial 16S ribosomal RNA". It matches the Rfam family "Bacterial small subunit ribosomal RNA", at positions 355 to 776 of the family's 1533-position model. Lineage: Bacteria; Pseudomonadati; Pseudomonadota. The record is from RNAcentral.